UACGAAGGGGGGCUAGCGUUGCUCGGAAUCACUGGGCGUAAAGCGCACGUAGGCGGGUCGUUAAGUCAGGGGUGAAAUCCUGGAGCUCAACUCCAGAACUGCCCUUGAUACUGGCGAUCUCGAGUUCGGGAGAGGUGAGUGGAACUGCGAGUGUAGAGGUGAAAUUCGUAGAUAUUCGCAAGAACACCAGUGGCGAAGGCGGCUCACUGGCUCGGUACUGACGCUGAGGUGCGAAAGCGUGGGGAGCGAACAGG
This 254-nucleotide ribosomal RNA is filed under the name uncultured bacterium. Its description in RNAcentral is "partial 16S ribosomal RNA". It matches the Rfam family "Bacterial small subunit ribosomal RNA", at positions 524 to 776 of the family's 1533-position model. The record is from RNAcentral.